Anolis sagrei ordinatus is the source of this 191-nucleotide non-coding RNA. The record is from RefSeq and is a predicted model, not a curated record. Lineage: Eukaryota; Metazoa; Chordata; Lepidosauria; Squamata; Anolidae.
AGCUCUCGGCCUUUUGGCUAAGAUCAAGUGUAGUAUCUGUUCUUAUCAAUUUAACAUUCCAUUUUCCAUUCUUGAGUUUGGAGUAGAGCAACUACUUUGGGAGAUGGUGGUCAGGCAUCCGGACAAUAUGGCCAGUCCAGCGGAGCUGAUGGCGGAGGACCAUUGCUUCAAUAUUGGUGGUCUUUGUUUCU